UGAGGGAAAGGCGAAAAGAACCCCGGCGAGGGGAGUGAAAAAGAACCUGAAACCGUGUACGUACAAGCAGUGGGAGCCCCACCACCAAAGCAUUCUCUGGUGUUGAAGGCCCUGCAAAGCAGCAUCGCGGUGGCGGAGCGUCGUUUGCGACGCCCAACACACAAAACAAGCGGUGAGUGCUUUGGGGUGGGGUGACUGCGUACCUUUUGUAUAAUGGGUCAGCGACUUAUAUUCUGUAGCAAGGUUAACCGUAUAGGGGAGCCGUAGGGAAACCGAGUCUUAACCGGGCGUUAAGUUGCAGGGUAUAGACCCGAAACCCGGUGAUCUAGCCAUGGGCAGGUUGAAGGUUGGGUAACACUAACUGGAGGACCGAACCGACUAAUGUUGAAAAAUUAGCGGAUGACCUGUGGCUGGGGGUGAAAGGCCAAUCAAACCGGGAGAUAGCUGGUUCUCCCCGAAAGCUAUUUAGGUAGCGCCUCGUGAAUUCAUCUCCGGGGGUAGAGCACUGUUUCGGCUAGGGGGCCAUCCCGGCUUACCAACCCGAUGCAAACUGCGAAUACCGGAGAAUGUUAUCACGGGAGACACACGGCGGGUGCUAACGUCCGUCGUGAAGAGGGAAACAACCCAGACCGCCAGCUAAGGUCCCAAAGUCAUGGUUAAGUGGGAAACGAUGUGGGAAGGCCCAGACAGCCAGGAUGUUGGCUUAGAAGCAGCCAUCAUUUAAAGAAAGCGUAAUAGCUCACUGGUCGAGUCGGCCUGCGCGGAAGAUGUAACGGGGCUAAAC
This 784-nucleotide ribosomal RNA is filed under the name Salmonella enterica subsp. enterica. RNAcentral's name for it is "bacterial LSU rRNA". It matches the Rfam family "Bacterial large subunit ribosomal RNA", at positions 504 to 1187 of the family's 2925-position model. The record is from RNAcentral. Lineage: Bacteria; Pseudomonadati; Pseudomonadota; Gammaproteobacteria; Enterobacterales; Enterobacteriaceae.